AGAGCAUCCCAGGCAGCUAGAAGAACAAAGGCAAAGAUACCAAAGGACAAAUACUCUAAGAAUGAGUCAUCCAAGUCCAGUGACAGGACAAAAGUCAGGACUCAGGAGGCAGUGGAUGACCUUGGCAACGUUAAUAUUUGAUUCAACAAUGCCUGUUUCAUCCACUUUGAUGGUUAUUAGAACAAAUUAUUCUCAUCUUCUGUUGGAAGAAGUCUUCACAUGCCUGGGGUAGACAUCCUUCUAAGGAUUCUGCAUGGGGUGGGAGGAGAGUCCUCACAUGCUUGGGGUAGACACACCCCUAAUUCUCCUAAGAUUUGAGUCCUUUCUGCCCAGAUGGUUUUACUAGGGUGUGAUUGCAUGCCACAGCUUCUUGGAGCCACUGGUGAGAGCUAGGUAGAGAAGAAGGAAAAAAUUCUGAAAAGGAAGAAAGAAGUUCUAAAAAAAAAAAAGGCUUAACAAGCCUUCACAUCAGAUGUACCAGUUUUCCUUGAACUCCCUAUAUACCCCCACAUAGUUCAGUUUCCUUAUCAAUAAAAUGGGGAUAAUAAUUAUAUCUAAUUCCUGU
Molecule: long non-coding RNA, 565 nt
Filed under: Monodelphis domestica (gray short-tailed opossum)
Lineage: Eukaryota; Metazoa; Chordata; Mammalia; Didelphimorphia; Didelphidae
Description: lncRNA (ENSMODG00000038917.1)
Source: RNAcentral